GUUUAAACAAAGUUUCUUCUGAGAAGAGGGAUUCGAUGGAUGCAUUCAACGUGGACAACGAGAUUAUAAUUUCGUUUGUGUCAUCCUAAGGACCAGUGCAAGUUGAAAUGGGCUUCGAGUCAACAACUUCAACAGCAAUUUGCCUUGAAAAUCAGCAAGAAAGGUACUUCAUUUACAUUGAUGAUGUCAUAUCCCCUGGACCCCACAACUUUACAGGUUACAGAGAAAAUUCAAGAACUUCUGCACAAUGUGGGACUUGUAUAGAAUCAAUAAUGUU
Molecule: long non-coding RNA, 277 nt
Organism: Ostrea edulis (European flat oyster)
Lineage: Eukaryota; Metazoa; Mollusca; Bivalvia; Ostreida; Ostreidae
Exons: 3
Source: RefSeq, a predicted model, not a curated record